GAGGCAGGACAGAAGAGCUCUGUCAGGCCUUCAGACAUGCAAAUCGACUCCAUGGAGACCCGUGCUUGUUUAACCCUGGGCAUGGGCCCUCAUUCCAGAGCAGCCUUGACCACGAUCUACCUGCCCAGCCCCAUCCUUCUUGCCCUUUGGUGCAGAAGCAACAGAUUCAGGGGAUACUCCAAGAUGAGCCUCCAGGCCCAGCUCCUCUGUCUCCUGGUGAUGGGCUUUCAGGGCUGCAGGGGGCGGCUCGUCCUGACUCAGACCCCAGAGACCCUAGCAGCAUCUCAGGACAGCUUCAUCUCCAUCACCUGUAGAAGUAGCGAGGAGGUAGGUACCUCCAUGGCCUGGUACCAACAGAAACCCAACGAGGCUCCCAGGCUGCUCAUCUUUGGGGCUUCUGCCCGGGCGGCCGGAACCCCAUUCCGGUUCCGGGGAAGCGGCUCUGGCUCUGACUUCUCCCUCACCAUCCAUGGAGUAGAGGCUGAAGACGCGGGGGUGUAUUACUGCCAGCAGCACUUCCGCUGGCCUCUCCCAGUGACAGGUCCUCAGACAAAAAUACCCUUCUGGGCUGUGGAUGCCAGUUGUUGA
This is a non-coding RNA of Callorhinus ursinus (northern fur seal), 588 nucleotides long. The record is from the annotation of a RefSeq genome assembly. NCBI's taxonomy places the organism in Eukaryota, Metazoa, Chordata, Mammalia, Carnivora, Otariidae.